Molecule: ribosomal RNA, 515 nt
Filed under: uncultured bacterium
Lineage: Bacteria
Description: bacterial SSU rRNA
Rfam family: Bacterial small subunit ribosomal RNA
Source: RNAcentral
GCGGCGGACGGGUGAGUAAUGCCUAGGAAUCUGCCUAGUAGUGGGGGAUAACUUGCCGAAAGGUAAGCUAAUACCGCAUACGUCCUACGGGAGAAAGCAGGGGACCUUCGGGCCUUGCGCUAUUAGAUGAGCCUAGGUCGGAUUAGUUAGUUGGUGAGGUAAUGGCUCACCAAGACCGCGAUCCGUAACUGGUCUGAGAGGAUGAUCAGUCACACUGGAACUGAGACACGGUCCAGACUCCUACGGGAGGCAGCAGUGGGGAAUAUUGGACAAUGGGGGGAACCCUGAUCCAGCCAUGCCGCGUGUGUGAAGAAGGUCUUAGGAUUGUAAAGCACUUUAAGUUGGGAGGAAGAGCAGUUAACUAAUAUUUGACUGUUUUGACGUUACCGACAGAAUAAGCACCGGCUAACUUCGUGCCAGCAGCCGCGGUAAUACGAAGGGUGCAAGCGUUAAUCGGAAUUACUGGGCGUAAAGCGCGCGUAGGUGGUUCGUUAAGUUAGGAGUGAAAGCCCCGG